GUGCCAGCCGCCGCGGUAAUACGUAGGUUGCAAGCGUUGUCCGGAAUUAUUGGGCGUAAAACGCGCGCAGGCGGUCCUUUAAGUCUGAUGUGAAAGCCCUCGGCUCAACCGAGGAAGGUCAUUGGAAACUGGAGGACUUGAGUUCAGAAGAGGAAAGUGGAAUUCCAAGUGUAGCGGUGAAAUGCGUAGAGAUUUGGAGGAACACCAGUGGCGAAGGCGACUUUCUGGUCUGUAACUGACGCUGAGGCGCGAAAGCGUGGGGAGCAAACAGGAUUAGAUACCCUGGUAGUCCACGCCGUAAACGAUGAGUGCUAAGUGUUAGGGGGUUUCCGCCCCUUAGUGCUGCAGCUAACGCAUUAAGCACUCCGCCUGGGGAGUACGGUCGCAAGACUGAAACUCAAAGGAAUUGACGG
RNAcentral lists this ribosomal RNA (413 nucleotides) under uncultured bacterium. RNAcentral describes it as "bacterial SSU rRNA". It matches the Rfam family "Bacterial small subunit ribosomal RNA", at positions 505 to 916 of the family's 1533-position model. The record is from RNAcentral.